AUAGAUGGCUUGCAAUGCUAGUUGACCUUGCUAGUAUAUGUAGCUUGACAUCACCAGAACAGAGACCAACAAUGAGGCAAAUCUUGAAAAUGAUACAAGAUAUAAAGGAUAGUGCAAUGGUCGAGAAUAACAAAAGGGAUGCACAUAAUGGAUACUCAUAGCUUGCAGUUACACCAUUAACCAGCAAGGGUACAUGGUCAAUUGUAAGUAAGUGUCACACCUGAAACCAAUUUGGAUAAUGAAAUCAUUUA
RNAcentral lists this unclassified non-coding RNA (251 nucleotides) under Hevea brasiliensis (rubber tree). Lineage: Eukaryota; Viridiplantae; Streptophyta; Magnoliopsida; Malpighiales; Euphorbiaceae. The record is from RNAcentral.